UGGGGAAUUUUGCGCAAUGGACGAAAGUCUGACGCAGCAACGCCGCGUGGGUGAUGAAGGUCUUCGGAUCGUAAAACCCUGUCGUCAGGGACGAAGACUGAGGGGUUAAUACCCUUUCAGUUUGACGGUACCUGGAGAGGAAGCCCCGGCUAACUCUGUGCCAGCAGCCGCGGUAAUACAGAGGGGGCAAGCGUUAUUCGGAAUUAUUGGGCGUAAAGGGCGCGUAGGCGGUCGUUUAAGUCAGAUGUGUAAUCCCCGAGCUCAACUUGGGAACUGCAUCUGAGACUGGAGGACUAGAGUGCUGGAGAGGGUGGUAGAAUUCCACGUGUAGCGGUGAAAUGCGUAGAGAUGUGGAGGAAUACCAGUGGCGAAGGCGGCCACCUGGACAGUAACUGACGCUGAGGCGCGAAAGUGUGGGUAGCAAACAGG
RNAcentral lists this ribosomal RNA (429 nucleotides) under uncultured bacterium. RNAcentral's name for it is "bacterial SSU rRNA". It matches the Rfam family "Bacterial small subunit ribosomal RNA", at positions 355 to 776 of the family's 1533-position model. The record is from RNAcentral.